GGCGGAAGAAAAUGAUGCGAAGUACGUUCAGUUGAUGGCGCUGCUUGGAGCCAAAAUAGGGAACUAGGUGGUUUUGGUAAUAGAUUUUGGUAGCAGUACUUGAUAACAGAUCUUGGAAUUAGAUUUUGGUAGAGGUUCUUGUGCACUUGAUAACUAGGUGGUUUUGGUAUUCGAUUUUGGUUGUGCUACAAAUUUAUGGUGUUGGUUGAGAUUUGUGGUUGUGCUACAUAUUUUGAUUGUGCUACAGAUUUAUGGUGUGGGCUAUAUAUUAUUAGAUUUAUGGUGUGGGCUAUAUAUU
RNAcentral lists this long non-coding RNA (298 nucleotides) under Hordeum vulgare. RNAcentral's name for it is "long non-coding RNA (HVUL_LNC009271)". Lineage: Eukaryota; Viridiplantae; Streptophyta; Magnoliopsida; Poales; Poaceae. The record is from RNAcentral.